RNAcentral lists this transfer RNA (77 nucleotides) under Tyzzerella sp. An114. RNAcentral describes it as "tRNA-Met". It matches the Rfam family "tRNA". Rfam says of the family: Transfer RNA (tRNA) molecules are approximately 80 nucleotides in length. Their secondary structure includes four short double-helical elements and three loops (D, anti-codon, and T loops). Further hydrogen bonds mediate the characteristic L-shaped molecular structure. tRNAs have two regions of fundamental functional importance: the anti-codon, which is responsible for specific mRNA codon recognition, and the 3' end, to which the tRNAs corresponding amino acid is attached (by aminoacyl-tRNA synthetases). tRNAs cope with the degeneracy of the genetic code in two manners: having more than one tRNA (with a specific anti-codon) for a particular amino acid; and 'wobble' base-pairing, i.e. permitting non-standard base-pairing at the 3rd anti-codon position. The record is from RNAcentral. Lineage: Bacteria; Bacillati; Bacillota; Clostridia; Lachnospirales; Lachnospiraceae.
GGGUCUUUAGCUCAGUUGGUUAGAGCAUCCGGCUCAUAACCGGACGGUCCUGGGUUCGAGUCCCCGAAGACCCACCA